CUUGGUGUGGUUGUUGCUGGCUCUUUCGAGGGCAUGUGCACGCCCACCAUCCUCAUCUCUCCACCUGUGCACCUCUUGUAGACUUGGAUUGACUUUCCGAGGCAACUCGGUCGGGAGGAUUGCCGGCGCCAGCUGGCUUUCUUUGCAUUUCCAGGUCUACGUUUUUCAUAUACCCCAUUGUAUGUAACAGAAUGUAACAUUGGGCACUUGUGCCUAUAAACUUUAUACAACUUUCAGCAACGGAUCUCUUGGCUCUCGCAUCGAUGAAGAACGCAGCGAAAUGCGAUAAGUAAUGUGAAUUGCAGAAUUCAGUGAAUCAUCGAAUCUUUGAACGCACCUUGCGCUCCUUGGUAUUCCGAGGAGCAUGCCUGUUUGAGUGUCAUUAAAUUCUCAACCUUUAUCAACUUUUGUUGAUAAUGGCUUGGAUAUGGGGGUUUAUUUUGCUGGCUUCUUUACAGAUGGUCAGCUCCCCUUAAAUGCAUUAGCCGGUGCCCCGCGUGGACUGUCUAUUGGUGUGAUAAUUAUCUACGCCGUGGACAUCUGCAAUCAUAUGGGUUUGCACUGCUUCCAACUGUCUGUUGAAUCAGACAAUACAUGACAAUUUGACCUCAAAUCAGGUAGGACUACCCGCUGAACUUAAGCAUAUCAAUAAG
Molecule: ribosomal RNA, 653 nt
Filed under: Hebeloma sp. YM1805
Lineage: Eukaryota; Fungi; Basidiomycota; Agaricomycetes; Agaricales; Hymenogastraceae
Description: eukaryotic LSU rRNA
Rfam family: 5.8S ribosomal RNA (bases 229-382)
Source: RNAcentral